UCCCAGCCAGGACUCACUGUGACCUUUGAGUGCAACAUGGGUCCGGGGUUGAGCAUGGUCAGCUACACCAUGUUAUGGUAUCGACAAACCCACUACGGAGCUCCACUGGAGUUCCUCACCAAAGAGUACGACCAAACCAUGGGGCACUUCCAGUCGACUAUGGACAAGUCCAACACCAAGUUCUCUCUUCAAGUAGCUGAGCUGCUGCUGAAUGACAGCAGCACCUACUACUGUGCUGCCAACAUUCAGUGUGACACUGGAACUGAAGCUUACUUUGGAAAGGGAACAAAACUCACUGUUUUGGAAACAGGACUUGAAACCACCGCACCAACAGUCAAAGUGCUUCCACCUUCAACAAAGGAGUGUCAAAACCAGAAGGACGACCAGAAGAAGAAGACCAUUGUUUGUGUGGCCAGUGGAUUCUACCCUGAUCAUGUCGGUGUGGUCUGGAAGAUCAGCGGGGAGAUUGUCACCACCGGUGUGGCGACCGACAACGCUGCCCUCCGAGAAGGCAAGCAUUACACAAUCACCAGCAGGCUGAGGGUCACUGCCAAAGAAUGGUUCACAAACGACCUAAAGUUCACCUGCACCGUCAGCUUCUUCAACGGGACACAUACUGAACUUUAUGAAGGAUCAAUUCAUGGGGUAGAAGAGAAAUAUCUGAGGAUCACACAGAGCGCCAAACUCACCUACGGUGUUUUCAUCGUCAAGAGCAGCAUCUAUGGAGCCUUUGUGGCGUUUUUGGUGUGGAAGCUUCAGAGUUCAGCUGGGAAGCGGAACGACUGAGAGCUGAGCUGAAGCCUGAACAGACCAUCUUUAUCUCGGUUUCUGUAAAUAGAGUUCAUAGUUUCCACAGCUUUGUGUGUCACAGCGUAUUUGCAUUCAUAUAUAAAUGAGCCAAUCAAAUGACAUCAGAGGGAUUUAUUCCUAUUGCAAUAUUAAAUCUAUUGCUGGCAUGGAAGUAUAUUAGAUGUAAACUAUUUUAAAAACACGCCUACUGUACGUCUGUGCUUGUGAAUUAUUUCAUGAUUGAUUUUCUUCUCAAUAAAAGUAGAUCACAUGAUCUAACAGAUUGAA
Non-coding RNA from Anoplopoma fimbria (sablefish), 1077 nucleotides. The record is from the annotation of a RefSeq genome assembly. Lineage: Eukaryota; Metazoa; Chordata; Actinopteri; Perciformes; Anoplopomatidae.